CUGGGACUGAGACACGGCCCAGAUUCCUACGGGAGGCAGCAGUGGGGAAUAUUGCACAAUGGGCGGAAGCCUGAUGCAGCGACGCCGCGUGAGGGAUGACGGCCUUCGGGUUGUAAACCUCUUUCAGCACGGAAGAAGCGAGAGUGACGGUACGUGCAGAAGAAGCGCCGGCUAACUACGUGCCAGCAGCCGCGGUAAUACGUAGGGCGCAAGCGUUGUCCGGAAUUAUUGGGCGUAAAGAGCUCGUAGGCGGUUUGUCGCGUCUGCUGUGAAAGCCCGGGGCUUAACCCCGGGUGUGCAGUGGGUACGGGCAGACUUGAGUGCAGUAGGGGAGACUGGAAUUCCUGGUGUAGCGGUGAAAUGCGCAGAUAUCAGGAAGAACACCGAUGGCGAAGGCAGGUCUCUGGGCUGUUACUGACGCUGAGGAGCGAAAGCAUGGGGAGCGAACAGGAUUAGAUACCCUGGUAGUCCAUGCCGUAAACGUUGGGCACUAGGUGUGGGGGACAUUCCACGUUUUCCGCGCCGUAGCUAACGCAUUAAGUGCCCCGCCUGGGGAGUACGGCCGCAAGGCUAAAACUCAAAGGAAUUGACGGGGGCCCGCACAAGCGGCGGAGCAUGCGGAUUAAUUCGAUGCAACGCGAAGAACCUUACCAAGGCUUGACAUACACCGGACCGGUUCAGAGAUGUUCCUUCCCCCUUGUGGGGCUGGUGUACAGGUGGUGCAUGGUUGUCGUCAGCUCGUGUCGUGAGAUGUUGGGUUAAGUCCCGCAACGAGCGCAACCCUCGUUCUAUGUUGCCAGCACGUGAUGGUGGGGACUCAUAGGAGACUGCCGGGGUCAACUCGGAGGAAGGUGGGGAUGACGUCAAAUCAUCAUGCCCCUUAUGUCUUGGGCUUCACGCAUGCUACAAUGGCCGGUACAAUGGGUUGCGAUGCCGUGAGGUGGAGCUAAUCCCAAAAAGCCGGUCUCAGUUCGGAUCGUGGUCUGCAACUCGACCACGUGAAGUCGGAGUCGCUAGUAAUCGCAGAUCAGCAACGCUGCGGUGAAUACGUUCCCGGGCCUUGUACACACCGCCCGUCAAGUCACGAAAGUUGGUAACACCCGAAGCCGGUGGCCUAACCCUUGUGGGAGGGAGCCGUCGAAGG
RNAcentral lists this ribosomal RNA (1144 nucleotides) under Kocuria salsicia. RNAcentral's name for it is "bacterial SSU rRNA". It matches the Rfam family "Bacterial small subunit ribosomal RNA", at positions 313 to 1462 of the family's 1533-position model. Lineage: Bacteria; Bacillati; Actinomycetota; Actinomycetes; Micrococcales; Micrococcaceae. The record is from RNAcentral.